Molecule: unclassified non-coding RNA, 244 nt
Filed under: uncultured fungus
Lineage: Eukaryota; Fungi
Description: sequence contains ITS1
Source: RNAcentral
GUAUUAAUUACGGCCAUAUUGGCACGAUCACGUUCAUCGUUAUAAUCAGUGUAUGUAAAGAGGGAAUUCUAAGAAAGAUUACCAGACAGCAAUCUCUCUAAUCGAAAACCCUCAGAAGAUGCACAGGCGUGUGCGAAUAAAGAUUGUUGAGGGGCGAGCACAUGCAGCCAAAAGGUAGGCUUGCCAGCAUCAAACCCCUCAUUACAAUUCGUUAAUGAUCCUUCCGCAGGUUCACCUACGGAAA